GCUAACACUGAAAAAAGCACUUGCUCGUGACAAUAAGAGGUGCACUUUUGCUACUAAGAUUCCCUGUAGUUGCUAUGUGCACAUGAGAGCUAUGAGCUGAUGAGCCCAUUGAAGAUUGUUUUUUAUUUUCGACGAGCAGGAAUGCAUAUGCCUGGUUAUGUAAUGUGCGAUAGAGUAGAGAGAAAUAAUUGAAAGUGGUCACUGUUUCUGUUUGGGUGAGCAUCUGGUAUGCUCCACUGUUGACUAAAUCAUGUUUGGAGUGCUGAAGAAGAUAAAUGCAAUAUGCAACCUUCUACCUGUCUUGUGUAAAAGUUGCAGAGGUCGCCCCAAUUUUCGUUUGCAGAAUUAACCAUUUGACUCUGCCUUGUGCAAAAUCGUUUUGGUACACACAUUUCCCGAGCUAUUUGUGAAGAUUACGUAUGACUUACAUGUGACAACUCCCCAAAAAAUAAAUAUCUGCUAUUGAGAUAACCCUCUGAUCCACCAUUUCGCGUCCCUGUCUCGUUGACUAUUUGAACUAACUAAAACUACUUUCGGAGGGAGUUUUGACUCCUUGGAAGACAACCACGACCCGGCAACCCAGAUCUGGACUUCUUUUAUACUACUAGUUCACGAGCAGAGGAGGGAUCAGACAUCAAAGCAGCAAGCAGCAUGGAGGCCCAACAAUGGCGGAGAAGGUGUUUGGCAUGUGGGCGAGCCCGAUGGCCAUCCGGGUUGAGCCGGCAACAUUUGUGACUAGGUUUGCAGGAAACAUCAAUUCAUUAAUCUGUUGCAUAAAACACCUUAUUAGCAGUAAAUUUGUUGCAAAAAGCACUGAUUGAAUGAUUUGACUCAUUUAAUCACUUUCUGACAAGUGGGGCCUAACUGUCAAGAGCUGACUUGGGAAACAAAUGUUAUACACACCCCUAAAUCUAAAAAUAAAAAGCAAUCAACCCCUUUGCAACCGCUGCCUGCCCUCGCAACAAACCACGCCACCGCCGCCGGAAGCCCACCCGCCUCCCUGCCUCGAUGACCGCAGCCCCGCUCGAUUGGAUCGAGAGGAGCUCCUCGAUCUAGAGCCUCCCCUCGUCCUUGGGCCUUCCGGCUACCAGCGAACGCCGCCGGCGAACCAACCCGGCGCACCCGCCGCCCCUCUGCCCUGCUCCUUCUCCAUCCUCCUUCUCUUCUCCCUGUGCCCUCUCUGACACAGCCGCCGGUUUCCGCAGGACCUCCAUGGAGAUCGCCCGAUUUGCUACAAAUCGCUAUGGCCGCCUCCCCAACAACUCGCCGUUGGAUCCGAGCAUGCCCGAUCUGGAGCACCUCUCCUGAUCUCCCUCGCGCCCGACCCCGCCUAGAUCCGGAGCCUCGCCGCCGGACCCCCUCCUCUGCGCCCCAUUCCAGCCGCUGUCGGCCAUGGCAGGAGCCACGCCGCCGCAUACUGAAACGGACGCUCCGCUGUCACCAUCCUGCCUUGCGCCGUCGUCGUCUGCACUUCGUUGUCCCCAUCAUCAACGCCAUCAACACCGGCCUGGACGCCGCCGAUCGCUGCAGCAUCGGCAAGCCAACCUAAAAAAUGAGCACACUCCGGCCACCUCCUCGUCCCUCGUCGCGGCCAUAGCCAGGCAACAAGGACGACAACGGCGCCAGGGCGCCGCGUGCCGGACGAGUUCACGCUGCUUCGGCAGGAGGGAUUGUGCACGGUGGUGUGCGUGUGGGGGGUCUGAUUGCUUUUGUUUUUUUAAUCUAGGGGUGUAUGUGUUAUUUUUUUGCUAAGUUAAUUCCUUACAAUCUGGCCCCACUUGUAAGAAAGUGAUUAAACGAGUGAAAUCAUUCAAUCAGUGCUUUUUGCAACGACUUAACCGAUUUUUGAGUGUUUUCUGCAACGGAUUAACGAGUUGAUGGUUUCAUGCAAACCUAGCCGCAAAUGUGGUGAUUUUUUACAAUUGACUCCCAAGAAGGUGCCGGUGCUGGUCCACGACGGCAAGCCCAUCGCCGAGUCCACCGUCAUCGUCGAGUACAUCGACGAGGCGUGGAAGGACGGCUACCCCAUCAUGCCGGCCGAUCCCUACGACCGGGCUCAGGCCAGGUUCUGGGCCAGGUUCGCCGACGACAAGGUACACACAUAUACUCUGUCCAGAAAGCACUCCUAGAGAUAUGCUCCUUAGGUACACACAGCAGCUCUAAAAAUGACAGGAUUGGGUUGGGGUUUGUUCAGUGCAACGCCGCCAUCUACCCGGUCUUCACGGCGACCGGCGAGGCGCAGCGCGAGGUGGUGCGCGAGGCCCAGCGGUGCCUGAAGACGCUGGAGAAGGCCCUGGUGGGGAAGAAGUUCUGGGGGCGACGCCGUCGGCUACCUCGACGUCGUGCUUGGGUGGUACGCGCACUGGCUGCCGAUCAUCGAGGAGGUCUCCGGCGCCAGCGUGGUCACCGACGAGGAGCUGCCUCUGAUGAAGGCCUGGUUCGGCCGGUUCCUGGCCGUCGACGUGGUGAAGGAGACCCUGCCGCCGAGGGACAAGCUCCUGGCGCUCAACAAGGCUCGCCGUGAGCAGCUGCUCUCGGCCUAGAGCAGCACCUGUUCCGAGCCUUCCAGCUAGUACUUAAGCUUCUGCCAUGGAUUAUCCAUGGUGGAUAAAUAAGCGGUGAGCAUUUGCACAUUGUGCAACAAAUGUUUGGAGCUUCUUUCAGCCGCCUGCUUCACACUCCCAGUUUCCGUUAUAUAUAAACUUCACCCAUGAUGUUAUAUAUACGGUGCAAUAUACACUGCCUACUUAUUUCCUCGAAUGUGAAAACAAAAAUGACAAGGCAAAUGCACAUCAGUUACUUGUUAUUUUUCGAAUUGAGGAGCAUGUCUCACAAUUUCACUUCAUCAUGAAAUUGAUAAAACACAGCAAAUCGUGCCCAAAAUGGUCCUGCUGAGCCAAAGCUACAGCGCUCAUACAAGGCCGGAAGGCCCUGGCCUAUAAAAAGUGACGCAGCACCAAGAUGAUAACCCCGCGGCCAUCUAGCAGCUAAGGGCAUGGCGACCCGCAAAAAAUCUUCCGCAUUCGUCCACGGACAUAGAUGUAGGAGACAACGCUACAUCAUCAACGACAACCUGCAAAAAUCUUUCGUAUUUAUUCGCGGACAUGAAUGCGAGAGGCAGCCAUCCAACGCUAGUGCAUACAUUUCAAACCAUAUUUUAAGAGCAUCUACAGCCGGACUUGGCAAAUUCUACCCCUCAAACACCCGGGGACGCGCCCGGGCGCGUCCGCUGGCACUGACCAGACACCCCUCAAAUAACGUAACCCACAUCCGGACACUUCUACUGUCAUAUCUCAAACCCAUACAAACUCAUGCAACUAAGUCGAUGCACACACAUCGUCCGGCUACUCCAUCACUACUAACUAAACAUGCCAUCGGACUAUCAAAAUUUGGCAUGUUUGGCUAUGGUGGAGUUCAUCCACGGAUGCCCUUACCCUUCCCGACGCCCUUGCCAUCCUUCUUGCGGAAGUAUCGGUCGAAGACGCAGUACCGAUCGAGUCGGAUCUGCUCGUCGCCAUCACUAUCCUCCUUCUCCUCCUUCGGUGGCAGUCCAGCCAUGGCACGAACCGUCCGAUUCUGCUCCCGGACGAGAGCACGCGUGUUCCUCCGCUGCCGUUUCUUCACAAUGCGGGCGCGGAUGGCUUCCUCCUCGACGGCCGCCUGCACCGCCGCAUCAGCCGCCUCCACCAUCGCCAUUUCCGCCGUGAUACGGGCCUUGGCGGCCCUUAUCCUCUCCUUCCCAGAGCGGGCCACCUGGUCCCGAUGGGACUCAUAGCAUGUCUGACCGGUGAUGGGGAAGGAGAGGGAUUCCGGCUGCCGGGACCGCGAGGAUAUAGCCCCGGAGGACCCGAGCGCCUGGUGAGCCGACGCUAUGGAGCCGCGGUGCACUACAAAAAAAAAAUACAC
RNAcentral lists this long non-coding RNA (3906 nucleotides) under Triticum aestivum (bread wheat). Its description in RNAcentral is "long non-coding RNA (TAES_LNC005777)". The record is from RNAcentral. Lineage: Eukaryota; Viridiplantae; Streptophyta; Magnoliopsida; Poales; Poaceae.